GACCCAGUGGUGGGUGGUACCGUGUCUGUAUCUUGCGGCUUCUCUCUCAAGGAAUAUACCACGCAGGUUUCUGGUUCGAAUCCAGGCUGGGUCG
Non-coding RNA from Mycena galericulata, 94 nucleotides. Lineage: Eukaryota; Fungi; Basidiomycota; Agaricomycetes; Agaricales; Mycenaceae. The record is from the annotation of a GenBank genome assembly.